AUUAUCCUACGGGGGGCAGCAGUGAGGAGUAUUGGUCAAUGGGCGCGAGCCUGAACCAGCCAAGUCGCGUGAGGGAAGACGGUCCUAUGGAUUGUAAACCUCUUUUGUCGGGGAGCAAAAGACGCCACGUGUGGCGUUCCGAGAGUACCCGAAGAAAAAGCAUCGGCUAACUCCGUGCCAGCAGCCGCGGUAAUACGGAGGAUGCGAGCGUUAUCCGGAUUUAUUGGGUUUAAAGGGUGCGCAGGCGGAAGACCAAGUCAGCGGUAAAAUUGAGAGGCUCAACCUCUUCGAGCCGUUGAAACUGG
This 305-nucleotide ribosomal RNA is filed under the name uncultured bacterium. RNAcentral's name for it is "bacterial SSU rRNA". It matches the Rfam family "Bacterial small subunit ribosomal RNA", at positions 333 to 636 of the family's 1533-position model. The record is from RNAcentral.